GACGAACGCUGGCGGCGUGCUUAACACAUGCAAGUCGAGCGGUAAGGCCCUUUCGGGGGGUACACGAGCGGCGAACGGGUGAGUAACACGUGGGUGACCUGCCCUCAGCUCUGGGAUAAGCCUGGGAAACCGGGUCUAAUACCGGAUAUGACUCCAUGACGCAUGUUGUGGGGUGGAAAGCCUUGUGCGGCUGAGGAUGGGCCCGCGGCCUAUCAGCUUGUUGGUGGGGUGANGGCCUACCAAGGCGACGACGGGUAGCCGGCCUUGGCGGGUGAACGGCCACACGGGGACUGAGACACGGCCCCGACUCCUACGGGAGGCAGCAGUGGGGAAUAUUGGGCAAUGGGCGCAAGCCUGACCCAGCGACGUCGCGUUGGGGAAGAAGGCCUUCGGUUGUAA
RNAcentral lists this ribosomal RNA (399 nucleotides) under uncultured bacterium. Its description in RNAcentral is "bacterial SSU rRNA". It matches the Rfam family "Bacterial small subunit ribosomal RNA", at positions 28 to 428 of the family's 1533-position model. The record is from RNAcentral.